RNAcentral lists this ribosomal RNA (484 nucleotides) under uncultured bacterium. RNAcentral describes it as "partial 16S ribosomal RNA". It matches the Rfam family "Bacterial small subunit ribosomal RNA", at positions 30 to 507 of the family's 1533-position model. The record is from RNAcentral.
AUUGAACGCUGGCGGCAGGCCUAACACAUGCAAGUCGAGCGGAUGAAGGGAGCUUGCUCCUGGAUUCAGCGGCGGACGGGUGAGUAAUGCCUAGGAAUCUGCCUGGUAGUGGGGGAUAACGUCCGGAAACGGGCGCUAAUACCGCAUACGUCCUGAGGGAGAAAGUGGGGGAUCUUCGGACCUCACGCUAUCAGAUGAGCCUAGGUCGGAUUAGCUAGUUGGUGGGGUAACGGCCUACCAAGGCGACGAUCCGUAACUGGUCUGAGAGGAUGAUCAGUCACACUGGAACUGAGACACGGUCCAGACUCCUACGGGAGGCAGCAGUGGGGAAUAUUGGACAAUGGGCGAAAGCCUGAUCCAGCCAUACCGCGUGUGUGAAGAAGGUCUUCGGAUUGUAAAGCACUUUAAGUUGGGAGGAAGGGCAGUAAGUUAAUACCUUGCUGUUUUGACGUUACCAACAGAAUAAGCACCGGCUAACUUCGUG